This 271-nucleotide unclassified non-coding RNA is filed under the name Hevea brasiliensis (rubber tree). Lineage: Eukaryota; Viridiplantae; Streptophyta; Magnoliopsida; Malpighiales; Euphorbiaceae. The record is from RNAcentral.
UGCUACUGCUGUGGCUGCAAAGUAUUUCAAUCUGGACACAUAUCUAAUUCUACGCACUUCAAAGGUCCUUGUGAAUCAAGACCCUGGAUUGACUGGAAAUCUCCUUGUUGAGCGGUUAGUUGGAGCUCAUGUCGAACUUAUCUCAAAAGAAGAUCAGGCACUAACAGAUUUUCUGAAGUCAAAAUUAGUUGCUGAAGGAAGAAAGCCAUAUGUUAUUCCUGUUGGAGGAUCAAAUUCCCUUGGAACUUGGGGUUACAUUGAAGCAAUUAGG